Molecule: ribosomal RNA, 468 nt
Filed under: uncultured bacterium
Lineage: Bacteria
Description: partial 16S ribosomal RNA
Rfam family: Bacterial small subunit ribosomal RNA
Source: RNAcentral
GACGAACGCUGGCGGCGUGCUUAACACAUGCAAGUCGAACGGAAAGGCCCUGCUUUUGUGAGAUGCUCGAGUGGCGAACGGGUGAGUAACACGUGAGUAACCUGCCCUUGACUUUGGGAUAACUUCAGGAAACUGGGGCUAAUACCGGAUAGGAGCUCCUGCUGCAUGGGGGGGGGUGGAAAGUUUCGGCGGGUGGGGAUGGACUCGCGGCUUAUCCGCUUGUUGGUGGGGUAGUGGCUUACCAAGGCUUUGACGGGUAGCCGGCCUGAGAGGGUGACCGACCACAUUGGGACUGAGAUACGGCCAAGACUCCUACGGGAGGCAGCAGUGGGGAAUAUUGCACAAUGGGCGGAAGCCUGAUGCAGCAACGCCGCGUGCGGGAUGACGGCCUUCGGGUUGUAAACCGCUUUCGCCUGUGACGAAGCGUGAGUGACGGUAAUGGGUAAAGAAGCACCGGCUAACUACGUG